AAUUUUUGCCAUUAAUAAGGAUUUUUAUGACAUUUUUUCAUUACAUGUAUAUUACCAUCAAUCUUGUGUUUGUGUUUACGGUGAUGUUCUGUAAAGAAAAGUUUGAAAAAAAAUCGCUAAAGUUUGCUUGCGGAUAGCACUGAUUGCACAAUAUUAGGAAAUAUAUUUUUAUGUCAUAUAACGUUACCCGGUAACUGACUGCAUGUUGUAACGCGUUGUUUUGUUUUGCUUACGGCCAUAUGUGUACAUGUAAAUGAACGGUGCUUACACUAUUCGUACUUAUUGCAACAUGACAACAUUUUUGUAAAUUAUAUUCUGUAUAGGGACAGCUGAGGAAACCCGAAGGCUCAUACGUUUUCGAGGUGAAAACGAACAUCUGUUUUUAAAGUCCAAAUACGGCGCAAAAAAACUUUGGGACAUUGCCUAUGUAUUUCAAACUGUGCUGCCCUGCGGAAUCCCAACUUUGUGUUGUUUGUGCCAGACCCCAAAUGAUCAAGAUAUCCUGCCCACCCCGCUGCCUGCGACGUCUCCACUACCUGUGGCGUCCUUCCUGCCUGCUCGCCCUUCUGCCUGUGAUGCCUCUUCUGAAUGCCCUGCUGCUGUACCGCUGCUCGUCCUGCCAUCAGAAGCAGCACCAGCACCUGCCUGCCAUCACCUGCCUGCCCCCCACCUUUGAGACUCAGAUGUUAAAAUUUUGACAGUGUGAACUGGAACUUUGCCUUCUUGCCCAUUUGAAUUCCUCUGCAGGCCCCUGGAGGAUGGGCUCCCCCUUUGAGUCUGGCUCCUCCCAAGGCUUCUUCCUUCUAGGGAGCUUUUACUUGCCACUGUCACGUCUGGCUUGCUCACUGGGGUUUUUGGGUGGGGAUAAUGUAAAUCACUUUGAGACAAUGUAAUGUGAAAAUGUGAUAUACAAAUAAAAUUUAAUUGAAUUGAA
Non-coding RNA from Paramormyrops kingsleyae, 934 nucleotides. The record is from RefSeq and is a predicted model, not a curated record. Lineage: Eukaryota; Metazoa; Chordata; Actinopteri; Osteoglossiformes; Mormyridae.